GACGAACGCUGGCGGCGUGCCUAAUACAUGCAAGUAGAACGCUGAAGAGAGGAGCUUGCUCUUCUUGGAUGAGUUGCGGACGGGUGAGUAACGCGUAGGUAACCUGCCUUGUAGCGGGGGAUAACUAUUGGAAACGAUAGCUAAUACCGCAUAACAAUGGAUGACACAUGUCAUUUAUUUGAAAGGGGCAAUUGCUCCACUACAAGAUGGACCUGCGUUGUAUUAGCUAGUAGGUGAGGUAAUGGCUCACCUAGGCGACGAUACAUAGCCGACCUGAGAGGGUGAUCGGCCACACUGGGACUGAGACACGGCCCAGAAUCCUAAGGGAGGCAGCAGUAGGGAAUCUUCGGAAAUGGGGGGAAACCUGACCGAGCAAAGCCGCGGGAGUGAAGAAGGGUUUCGGAUCGGAAAGCUCUGUUGUAAGUCAAGAAAGGGUGUGAGAGUGGAAAGUUCACACUGUGACGGUAGCUUACCAGAAAGGGACGGCUAACUACGUG
RNAcentral lists this ribosomal RNA (497 nucleotides) under uncultured bacterium. RNAcentral's name for it is "partial 16S ribosomal RNA". It matches the Rfam family "Bacterial small subunit ribosomal RNA", at positions 28 to 507 of the family's 1533-position model. The record is from RNAcentral.